Molecule: ribosomal RNA, 357 nt
Filed under: Triticum aestivum (bread wheat)
Lineage: Eukaryota; Viridiplantae; Streptophyta; Magnoliopsida; Poales; Poaceae
Description: partial small subunit ribosomal RNA
Source: RNAcentral
AUGUCCCCGCCGCCGCCGCCACCUCCUCCCCGUACUCGCCCCAUCCCGAUCCAGUCCUCUCCCACCCACCGCCGACCUCGCCGUCCUCCUCACCCACCACCGCCGACCUCGUCCCUCCCUCCCCUCUCCGCAUCUCCCGGCCACCUCUACGUCCGAGGAGAUCGAGUGAGCGCCCGAGUGCGCCCGUCCUCGCAGCCUCCUCCCAGGAUUCCCCGCACCCAAGCCCCACAAGAGGAGCUCCUCCUGUGUGUUUGUACGCCGCCGCCGGCGACCACCAGCCACAGCUUGCCGGAGCCAGCAGAUGAAGAUUCUGAACAUGCAAGCAAAUAUGCAAGAGUAAAGAAGUUCUUGCAGUAG